RNAcentral lists this ribosomal RNA (465 nucleotides) under uncultured bacterium. RNAcentral describes it as "partial 16S ribosomal RNA". It matches the Rfam family "Bacterial small subunit ribosomal RNA", at positions 28 to 507 of the family's 1533-position model. The record is from RNAcentral.
GACGAAUGCUGGCGGCGUGCUUAACACAUGCAAGUCGAACGCUGAACCCGCUUCGGUGGGGGAUGAGUGGCGAACGGGUGAGUAACACGUGGGCAACCUGCCCCCGGCUCUGGGAUAACUCCAAGAAAUUGGGGCUAAUACCGGAUGUGACCGCUGGCCGCAUGGUCUGGUGGUGGAAAGGGUUUCCGGCUGGGGAUGGGCCCGCGGCCUAUCAGCUUGUUGGUGGGGUAGUGGCCUACCAAGGCGACGACGGGUAGCCGGCCUGAGAGGGUGACCGGCCACACUGGGACUGAGACACGGCCCAGACUCCUACGGGUGGCAGCAGUGGGGAAUAUUGCGCAAUGGGCGGAAGCCUGACGCAGCGACGCCGCGUGGGGGAUGACGGCCUUCGGGUUGUAAACCUCUUUCAGCAGGGACGAAGCGCAAGUGACGGUACCUGCAGAAGAAGCACCGGCCAACUACGUG